This 433-nucleotide ribosomal RNA is filed under the name uncultured bacterium. RNAcentral describes it as "partial 16S ribosomal RNA". It matches the Rfam family "Bacterial small subunit ribosomal RNA", at positions 29 to 507 of the family's 1533-position model. The record is from RNAcentral.
AACGAACGCUGGCGGCAGGCCUAACACAUGCAAGUCGAGCGAGGACUUCGGUUCUAGCGGCGGACGGGUGAGUAACGCGUGGGAAUGUGCCCUUCUCUACGGAAUAGCCCUGGGAAACUGGGAGUAAUACCGUAUACGCCCUUUUGGGGAAAGAUUUAUCGGAGAAGGAUCAGCCCGCGUUGGAUUAGGUAGUUGGUGGGGUAAUGGCCUACCAAGCCGACGAUCCAUAGCUGGUCUGAGAGGAUGAUCAGCCACACUGGGACUGAGACACGGCCCAGACUCCUACGGGAGGCAGCAGUGGGGAAUCUUAGACAAUGGGCGCAACCCUGAUCUAGCCAUGCCGCGUGAGUGAUGAAGGCCUUAGGGUUGUAAAGCUCUUUCAGCUGGGAUGAUAAUGACGGUACCAGCAGAAUAAGCCCCGGCUAACUCCGUG